UCUGGUGGGUAUAGCUGUAGGGAAACACCCGUUCCCAUUCCGAAUACGGAAGUAAAGUCUACAGCGUUGAUGAUACUUGGCUGGAGACGGCCCGGGAAAGUAGAUACUGCCAGAU
This 115-nucleotide ribosomal RNA is filed under the name candidate division TM6 bacterium RIFCSPHIGHO2_12_FULL_36_22. The record is from RNAcentral.